RNAcentral lists this ribosomal RNA (2653 nucleotides) under Chara braunii. Its description in RNAcentral is "eukaryotic LSU rRNA". The record is from RNAcentral. Lineage: Eukaryota; Viridiplantae; Streptophyta; Charophyceae; Charales; Characeae.
GUUUUUCUAGACUAAAGCGACCUUUCCCAACAAAAGAGGUUCGGGCCCAGGUAUGGGGCAAUUACUAGCUGUGGCAUAAUGCCACUUCCGUUGCCAUUAUCCAGUUACAGUAAUUUCAAAAAGAGGCACAGCAGAGUUGUACAGAGUUUCCGAAGGGACUGCAUAGACCGUGCUGCACGGUUCCAGUGCAGACAGUCAAUAAUGCACAGCAUUGGCAUUAGUAAUUUAGUAUCGCAUUAUUGUAUUCAGCUGAUGUUUGACACAUCAUCCCAUUCACAUGAUGCCAGAGUUUAAGUUUGAUGGUCCCCUAUUGUGUUUUCUCACCAUUUGCACUCGUCCUGUUUAGAACGCCUGCGCUCAGGACCACAAGUGACUGUUUCCCGACACGUAGCUCCCUUCCGAAAACCUUAGCCUUGUCUGUGGGCUCGGGAGAAGGGCUAUGUUUUUCAGGUGUGCUACCUGGACUUCUCCGCCCCGCAACCGACAUGUAUCCUCCCCAAUCUGUCGUUCCUGGUUGUCUACCUUUCAUUAUAUUGUUUACCAGCAUGCACUGUCUCCUUCCGGUACGAGUCGAACAGUCAAUCUGUAAUUCUGGCUGUUGUAUCGCUAUCUAGCCGGCCUGGGUUCGUGAUUGGGGACGGUCCAGAGACUGAUUUGACCUCAUGCCAGUUUCUGUCACAUAGCCAUUUUCCUUACCCUGUGCGAGCAAUCAAUUGGUGCCAUAGGGAUACAAGAAUUGCUUAUUCUUCAAUAUCUCAUAUGGGUUUUGUUUUAAUUGGAAUUUGUUCAUGUACAAAUAUAGGAUAAAUGAUAUGAUUACAUGCUGCGCACCAAAUUGCAAACAAACCGUGCAAGCAGUCUUAUGUCAAAAAAUGGAACAAAAGUUGCGGAUGAACCGAAAGUCGAGCUACAGUGCCAAACUACCCAAACACCACAAAGGGUGUUGAUUGAUACAGAUAGCAGGACGGUGGUCAUGGAAGUCGAAAUCCGCUAAGGAAUGUGUAACAACUCACCUGCUGAAUAAGUCAGCCCCGAAAAUGGAUGGCUCUGAAGCGCACGACCUAUGCUCGGCCAUCGUGGCGAUUCUGACACCGCGACGAGUAGGAGGGCGCGGGGCCUGCUGUGAAGCCUGGAGCGUGAGCCUAGGUGAAGUGGGUCCUGGUGCAAAUCUUGGUGGUAGUAGCAAGUAUUCAAAUGAGAACUUUGAAGACCGGAGUGGAGAAGGGUUUCAUGUGAACAGCGCUUGGACGUGGGUCAGUCGGCCCUAAGAGAUGUGGAAACCUUGUAUCAAGGGCGCACUGCACGCCGCACAUCGAAAGAGGGUCGGGUUAAUAUUCCCGAACCGGGUUGUGGCAGUGGACGGUAAUGUAAGAAGCUCCGGAGAUGCCAACUGGGGUUGUGGGAAGGGUUCUCUUUCCUUCUUGAUGGCUCGCCCACCCUGGAAUCGGAUCAACCGGAGAUAGGGUGCAGCGCCCGGCAAAGCACCGCGCGUCCUGUGGUGUCCAGCAUGCUCCCGACAACCCUUGAAAAUCCAGAGCUGUGGGUACCUCUCAUGCCCGACGCUACUCGUAACCGCAUCAGGUCUCCCAGGUGAGCAGCCUCUGGUCAAAGGAAGAAUGUAGGAAAGGGAAGUCGGCAAUAUGGAUCCGUAACCUUGGGAAAAGGAUUGGCUCUGAGGGCUGGGCCUAGGGGUCUGCGCCUCGAUGUCGUUGGCUGCCGGUGGUCUGCCCGAGCUGCUCUCGCGGCGAGGGCGGAGCCCGCGUGCCAGUGUGCCGACGGGCGUAGAAUGUCUUAUGGCCCCACCUUUCAGGUGGAGCCGUGGACUCUCCUUAAGCAUCCAAUUGCCGACUAAGAGCUGGUGCGGACAAGGGGAAUCCGACUGUUUAAUUAAAACAAAGCAUCGCGAUGGUCCCAACGACUAUUAACGCAAUGUUAUUUUCGCCCAAUGAUCUGAAUGUCAAAGUGAAGAGAUUCAACCAAGUGCGGGUAAACGGCGGGAGAAACUACGACUCUCUUAAGGUAGCCAAAUGCCUCGUCAUCUAAUUAGUGAUGCACAUGAAUGGAUUAACGAGAUUCCCACCGUCCCUAUCUACCAUCCUGCRAAACCACAGCCAAGGGAACGAGCUUGGAAGAAUCAGCGGGGAAAGAAGACCCUGUUGAGCUUGACUCUAAUUCGACUCUAUGAAACGACUUGAGAGGUGUAGAACUGGGUGCAAACUGCCUCCCGGCGACAUCUCCCCUGAAGGAAUAGGAUGACGAGUUAUUUCGGCGUGCAAUCUGACGCAUGUGACCUCAGGCGUUGGUCGGGGUUGAUACCUCUCCAAGAACACUACGCUGUAUGUUCUAUAUGUUUUUCAUAUCUCUGGUUUUUUCUUGCUUGUCGGUGACAAGCAACCGGACUGACGCCCCCCAGAAUAGAUGGGGCAUGUGUGUGUGUGUUUUCGUUAUUAAGAAAAGAAAAAAAGAAAAAAAGGCGUUUAGCUACCGCUUUGAUCAUUGCACAGGCUGGGUGGGAUACCUUGGGGAGUUGCAUGCAAGUGUCUGGGUAUUGUUUGGAUAUUUCCCGGCUUGCAUGCGACCCCCCAGGACCCCGCAGAUGGAGUGACAGGCACCUCCGCGACAACCCCCUACUGCCACGUGGCUAGGGUCGGGC